RNAcentral lists this small RNA (94 nucleotides) under Umboniibacter marinipuniceus. Its description in RNAcentral is "t44 RNA". It matches the Rfam family "t44 RNA". Rfam says of the family: This family consists of a number of bacterial RNA genes of between 135 and 170 bases in length. The t44 gene is found between the map and rpsB genes in all species in the full alignment apart from Shigella flexneri. Lineage: Bacteria; Pseudomonadati; Pseudomonadota; Gammaproteobacteria; Cellvibrionales; Cellvibrionaceae. The record is from RNAcentral.
AUAAACUUUAAAUUUAACUCUCACAUACAUCGGCACGAUUACUUGGGUGCCCCUAUUUACGGGGUUGGUAAUUGGGAUGUGUGGAGGCAUAACC